AUUGAACGCUGGCGGAAUGCUUUACACAUGCAAGUCGAACGGUAGACGGGGGCAACCCCUUGAGAGUGGCGAACGGGUGAGUAAUAUAUCGGAACGUGCCCAGUCGUGGGGGAUAACGUAGCGAAAGUUACGCUAAUACCGCAUACGAUCUAAGGAUGAAAGCGGGGGACCGUAAGGCCUCGCGCGAUUGGAGCGGCCGAUAUCAGAUUAGGUAGUUGGUGGGGUAAAGGCUCACCAAGCCAACGAUCUGUAGCUGGUCUGAGAGGACGACCAGCCACACUGGAACUGAGACACGGUCCAGACUCCUACGGGAGGCAGCAGUGGGGAAUUUUGGACAAUGGACGCAAGUCUGAUCCAGCCAUUCCGCGUGCAGGAUGAAGGCCCUCGGGUUGUAAACUGCUUUUGUACGGAACGAAAAGGUUUCUCUUAAUACGAGGGGCUCAUGACGGUACCGUAAGAAUAAGCACCGGCUAACUACGUG
RNAcentral lists this ribosomal RNA (481 nucleotides) under uncultured bacterium. Its description in RNAcentral is "bacterial SSU rRNA". It matches the Rfam family "Bacterial small subunit ribosomal RNA", at positions 30 to 507 of the family's 1533-position model. The record is from RNAcentral.